Molecule: ribosomal RNA, 508 nt
Filed under: uncultured bacterium
Lineage: Bacteria
Description: partial 16S ribosomal RNA
Rfam family: Bacterial small subunit ribosomal RNA
Source: RNAcentral
AUUGAACGCUGGCGGCAUGCCUUACACAUGCAAGUCGAACGGCAGCGGGGGAGAAGCUUGCUUUUCCUGCCGGCGAGUGGCGAACGGGUGAGUAAUACAUCGGAACGUGCCCUGUAGUGGGGGAUAACUAGUCGAAAGAUUAGCUAAUACCGCAUACGACCUGAGGGUGAAAGUGGGGGACCGCAAGGCCUCAUGCUAUAGGAGCGGCCGAUGUCUGAUUAGCUAGUUGGUGGGGUAAAGGCCUACCAAGGCGACGAUCAGUAGCUGGUCUGAGAGGACGAUCAGCCACACUGGGACUGAGACACGGCCCAGACUCCUACGGGAGGCAGCAGUGGGGAAUUUUGGACAAUGGGCGAAAGCCUGAUCCAGCAAUGCCGCGUGUGUGAAGAAGGCCUUCGGGCUGUAAAGCACUUUUGUCCGGAAAGAAAUGGCUCUGGUUAAUACCUGGGGUCGAUGACGGUACCGGAAGAAUAAGGACCGGCUAACUACGUGCCAGCAGCCGCCGUAA